Molecule: ribosomal RNA, 244 nt
Filed under: uncultured bacterium
Lineage: Bacteria
Description: partial 16S ribosomal RNA
Rfam family: Bacterial small subunit ribosomal RNA
Source: RNAcentral
UGAUGCGGAGGCAAAUCCCCAAAAAUUAGUCUCAGUUCAGAUUGCAGGCUGAAACUCGCCUGCAUGAAGUCGGAAUUGCUAGUAAUCGCAGAUCAGCAUGCUGCGGUGAAUACGUUCCCGGGCCUUGUACACACCGCCCGUCACACCAUGGGAGUCGGUAACACCCGAAGCCUGUAGUCUAACCGCAAGGAGGACGCAGUCGAAGGUGGGAUUGAUGACUGGGGUGAAGUCGUAACAAGGUACC